This 497-nucleotide ribosomal RNA is filed under the name uncultured bacterium. RNAcentral describes it as "partial 16S ribosomal RNA". It matches the Rfam family "Bacterial small subunit ribosomal RNA", at positions 28 to 507 of the family's 1533-position model. The record is from RNAcentral.
GAUGAACGCUGGCGGCGUGCCUAAUACAUGCAAGUCGAGCGAACGGACGAGAAGCUUGCUUCUCUGAUGUUAGCGGCGGACGGGUGAGUAACACGUGGAUAACCUACCUAUAAGACUGGGAUAACUUCGGGAAACCGGAGCUAAUACCGGAUGAUAUUUUGAACCGCAUGGUUCAAAAGUGAAAGACGGUCUUGCUGUCACUUAUAGAUGGAUCCGCGCUGCAUUAGCUAGUUGGUAAGGUAACGGCUUACCAAGGCAACGACGCAUAGCCGACCUGAGAGGGUGAUCGGCCACACUGGAACUGAGACACGGUCCAGACUCCUACGGGAGGCAGCAGUAGGGAAUCUUCCGCAAUGGGCGAAAGCCUGACGGGGCAACGCCGCGUGAGUGAUGAAGGUCUUCGGAUCGUAAAACUCUGUUAUUAGGGAAGAACAUAUGUGUAAGUAACUGCGCACAUCUUGACGGUACCUAAUCAGAAAGCCACGGCUAACUACGUG